RNAcentral lists this non-coding RNA (55 nucleotides) under Trypanosoma lewisi. Lineage: Eukaryota; Euglenozoa; Kinetoplastea; Trypanosomatida; Trypanosomatidae. The record is from RNAcentral.
AAUAAAUAAACAUAAACUAACAGAUGGGUAUAGGUUAGAUAGAUAAAAUGGUGAU